Molecule: long non-coding RNA, 864 nt
Organism: Pseudopipra pipra
Lineage: Eukaryota; Metazoa; Chordata; Aves; Passeriformes; Pipridae
Exons: 2
Source: RefSeq, a predicted model, not a curated record
GGAAAAUACUUUAAGCCUAUCUCGCCAUUUCUCAAACAGGCACGCACACACAGCCGCACAAAUCAUCAAAAGCGAGGCAGUGCUAAUGUAUGCUACGGCACACAGAACUAGAAUUCUUCCAGCAUAAAGAUCACUGUGCUUUUGGAAUAAGAUCAAUGUAUAGGUUGCUGUGACCGUGUCGGCAGCAUGCAAAGAAGGGGUUUCAAACCCCAGUAGUUAAUAAGUUUUGCAGAUUGUGUUGGGUUUUGUGCUGUGUACCAAAGGGGAAAAAAAAAAACAACAAAAAAACCCUUUGCCUGAUAAUUUGCAGUCCUCAUUCUGCAUGGGAAAUGCGUCGACAAUGAGCUCUGUAAUUUUUACUGACUGAAAAAUGUGUGGUACUUCUGUCAGGAAAACGCUGGCCAUCUUUUCCUAUUAUGAAAUAGAGUCUCAAGCCUGUGUGCUGGUGAAUGCGAUCAGAGCUGACAGCUCCCAAUUCUGCAUCAAUUCUCAGUGAAGAAGUUGGAAAUACAAGUAUUGCAGAAGAAAGUGCUGAUUUUAAGUCGACAUCGGGUGCAAAAUGCUGGAGGGGCAGGGCAAAAGCGUUGUAUUUGCUUUCUUUUUCACAACUGUGUUAAUUUUUUAAAAAGACCUGUUAUUGGAGUAUUUCUGAGAGAGCUGAUCAUUGUGUUUGAGUGUGGCUGGCUGCUGGGAGUGUGUGCUGGGAGAGAUCAAGGAAUGCAGUAAUUUGAUGCAGUAAAAGUUGCUUUACAGAGGUCCUGGCAAACUUAAAGCUUUCAUGCAUAAAAAUCUGUGAAGGAGAUGCAUUACUAAUGUAUUUGCCAAAACCAGUCUUAAAUAAAUUACAAAUAUAAACCACUUUAA